Molecule: ribosomal RNA, 256 nt
Filed under: uncultured bacterium
Lineage: Bacteria
Description: partial 16S ribosomal RNA
Rfam family: Bacterial small subunit ribosomal RNA
Source: RNAcentral
UACGUAGGUGGCAAGCGUUGUCCGGAUUUACUGGGUCGGUAAGGGCGUGCAGGCGGUCUGUUAAGUGCAGGGUGAAAGCUCCCGGCUCAACUGGGAGAGGUCCUUGCAUACUGGCGGACUUGAGGGGGGUAGAGGAAGUGGAAUUCCCGGUGUAGUGGUGAUAAUGCGUAGAUAUCGAGAGGAACACCCUGCGGCGAAGGCGGGUUGCUGGGCUGAUACUGACGCUGAUGCGCGAAAGCCAGGGGAGGCAAACAGG